ACCUAUUAAAAUAGACCACUGCAGCUAGUCCAAACCACUAAUUGGUACAUUGAGCAAAGUCAAUCAUAAGCAAUUCACAGACAAUGUGACUUUGAUGCGUUCUUUAAAUGGAAAACAACACACCUAAGCCUGGAGUAAACUGAUAGCAUUUUAUACCAAAACAGGUGAAAACUCCCUUUCAAGGAAGUCUUGGAUCUUAUGCUACACAAUCCAACCCAUCUCGAUUAUUUUAUAAAUGCAACCAACAUCAAUAGUAUCAUAUAUAUAUAUAUAUAUAUAUAUAUAUAUAUAUAUAUAGGCAUUUAUUACCUAUACUUCUCUGUUAUUUUUUUUUUAUUGAUUUAAGUGUUAGAGUGUCUUUAUAAAUAUUCAACUCAUCUCGAUCUAUUGCAUGCAGCUUAGCCACAUAUGAAGGAAGAACCAUCGCCAACUCAUCUCUCAAACCUCGAAUAUUAAAAUCAAGCUUAAAUAUUCGAGACAACAAUAACAAUCAAUCCAUAUUUCAACUAAUUUUGUAUGUAAGAGAGAGAUGAGAGAGAAGAAAAAAAAGAAGAAAAGAAUGGAGAACAACUACGUGAAGAUCAGGUCAUGGAACUAGAGACAAACCAUUGUUGAACAUGGAACUAGAGAUAAUCAAUUCAAGUGGGGAGCUUUGUUUGUAUGGGUUCUUUUGUAAACAGUUGGUUAUCUUGCAUUUAUGUAAUAUUCUGCAUAAAUAUCUUAUAACCAAUUUUGGGGAACUCAUUCACAUAGGCCCUGCUCUGGCAAAGUUACUUGUAAAUGGGUUCUGGUACGGUACACUUGAUACGUGGUACCGUAUUUAUAUCGAUAUUUUAUUUGUCGAUAAAAAAAGUAAUGAAGUUUAAGACUCUUAUCAUGUACUUUAGUUUUAUUUAUUUUAUAUUCUGCAAUGAUCAUUUUGAAAAUAAAAUAUGGUGCAUGUAUUUUUUAUAUAACCAACAAGGAUCGAGUCUAGCUAAAAAAAAAACUGAUUUUUUACGAUACUAAUGUUUUGUUUGGUAAAAAGGAG
RNAcentral lists this long non-coding RNA (1030 nucleotides) under Glycine max (soybean). Its description in RNAcentral is "long non-coding RNA (GMAX_LNC002072)". Lineage: Eukaryota; Viridiplantae; Streptophyta; Magnoliopsida; Fabales; Fabaceae. The record is from RNAcentral.